Sphaerodactylus townsendi is the source of this 2540-nucleotide long non-coding RNA. RefSeq lists it as uncharacterized. The transcript is spliced from 3 exons. The record is from RefSeq and is a predicted model, not a curated record. NCBI's taxonomy places the organism in Eukaryota, Metazoa, Chordata, Lepidosauria, Squamata, Sphaerodactylidae.
CCAGCCUUCGGGGGCGCGGCUCCCUGCUCCCAAAGAACUCGGCCGCAACGCCCGGCCACCUAAGGCCCCCCCCCCCCCCCCGCCUCGUCUGGGGAUAAAAUAUAGCAAGAGGCAGGCAGGCAGCCGGCAGAAGAGAAGGCCGCCUGCGAAGGGAGGGGGCGAGCAAGAGACAGACGGCGGAAGGGGGCUAAUUGAACGUCUUGGCUGCUGGUCCAAGGCCUGUGGCGACCAAGCAGGUCCCGCCAGCCAGGGCGGAGUGUCUGGGCACGGCACAGAGACCCGAAGGAAGGCGAACAGGCCGCUCCCACGAGGCCAGCUCCCAAAAUUGUUUUUCUCCAUUCUUGGGCAUUUUGGUCAGAGGGCUGUUUUUAUGGAACAACUGAAUGGAUGAAAUCUGAAUUGUGGCCUCACCAACAAGUCCAGGACAACUUGCAAGUUAGCCUCAGUUAGCUGCAGGCAUACUUUGUUUUUCUCACUCAGUAAGAAGCAGUUGGAAGGUGGGAUAGCUUUAUUGAGGUGUGCUUACAACUCCCACAGUCAGUUCUAAUAGAUAGGUUUGGAGUGAGAAAUAUGCUGCCAUGGAAACAGAAUAAUGUCUGGAGGGGCCAAAUGUGAAACAUCCUUUGUUUUGAGUUUCAGUCAGUAUCAGCUGCUCGUGCCAUAGAGGGAAUAAGGCAGUGUGCUGCACGCUUUUUCUUGACAUGUGCUGAGGGCCAGCAGAGAAGCAUCUGAAAAAUUCAUUGUUUUUCUUCAAGAGGCAGAGUUCAAGUGUUCUGAAAGAAAUUCGGCAUGCUUAGGAAAACAAUUAUUGAUGUGCACCUUCCUACGUAUCCAUUACUGUUUUUAAGCAAAGGUGGGCUGCUGAUGAUCGUGUUCUAUAUUCCAUGAUGGGGCAGUAAAAUCUUGGUGGCUAAAUGAUCUUGGGUGAAACCUAUAGGAGACAUAACCCAGUCAAGCCAGAAAUGAUGACCAUGUACUAUGGAAAAUAAGCGAAGGUACAAUGUGGGCACUGACCCUUUACAGUUGCAGAGAUCAGAAUUCUGAAUUCAUCACUACUUGAUUAACUUGGACCACUGGCAGAUAUGAAGUUUAAAACUGCAAAUUCUUGGCCGUUAAGAACUGUCCCAAUGGAUUAAACCAAGACUCAUCCAGACUAGAUCUAUGUCUUCAGCACAGGAAGGACAUUGUUGAAAAGCAAACAAACAAGACAACAAGGUAUCAGCUUUGUCCUGUGCUUCCAGCCUCCAGUGCCCACUGCCAAUAAAUACAGAGAAUUUAAACUAUCUGUUAAACUAUCAUGGUGCAUGUUAGUCCCUUCAAGAAAUAACUGUAGUUCGAGUGGGUUUCUGUGCAGACACACAUUGGGAAUGUGCUUGCACAGGACUGCCAUGGAAAGAUUUACCAGCUUUCUGUCAGCUCUGCGGCUCUGAAGAGCACUCCCCCCCUUCCCUUGGGAGGGAAUAUUCCCACCCAAACGGUCAAGUGAGGGGAGGGCGGGGAGUCCUCUUUUUCUCAGUUCUUCUUUCGCCAACAUGGAGGAAAGAAGUUUUUGCUUCAGCUUUGCUGAUUCUUCACCUCACCUGAGGUAGUUUUUCAUCAAAAUUGUGAGGGUUUUUUUCUCUUCUUCCAUGGAAGUUGAAAAGGGCUCUGCUUUAUUUUGUUUCUUCUGGUGUUCCCUAAGUGAUCACUCUUUCCUGCCCUGUUUUAAUUGUUGUUUUGACAUUUUUGUAUACAUAUUUAACAAUGGUUUUAACUCUUUUGAUUAUGUGUUUUUGUUCAGUUUUAAUAGUUUUGAGAUAUAUUUUAUUAUGUAUGCUUUUAAUCUGUCAGCCACAUUAAAAACACAAACUUUAAGGAUAAUUUAAAUGCUACAAUCAUGUGUUUAAUAUGAAAUGUUCAACCUUCCAACAGUAUUUUUAAUAUCUGAAACCCUGCCCCAGACUAAUCAACUAGUUCCAAUGUAUCACCUGUUUUUGGAAAGUCUACUACACCUUUAUGUAGUUCUUCUGCCAAAAUGAUAGGCAGUGCAAUCCUGGGGAGGGGAGUAGUUGUGGAACAGCCAGGGAUGGUACAACCACAGCACAGCCACACUGCUUCAAAAGAGGCUUACUGCACUCUGACCAGCAAGCUGAGAGGGAUGAUCCCCCAACCCCCAUGGAACAGCUCUGUGCACCUCCUUUUUGCUGGCAUAAAUCUUCCCCAGCAAAUAGGGGCCUUCCCGAGCCAAAAGGGCUGUCCCAGUCCCUUUGGCGGUGGCAUGGCCUCCUGCACUGGAGAAGUACUGGUGCCACAGAAGAGCUGAUGCUCGAGUGUUGUUUUGCUGCACUGCUCCACAGUGCCAGUGUAAAUGCCCCAUAUGCUGGUUCAAGUGGCAUUUACGCUGUUGCCGGAGUCAUGCCACUCCCUGAGGGAUUUCGGACCUCCCCCCAGGAGUGCACUGUAAGAUGCUUUGCACUGAUAGUUUUCAGUGGUAUGAUAGUUACUAUUUUUGGUAGCCUGUUAAGUGUUUGCUAACUGAACAUUAAAAAUAUGACAUGCCA